RNAcentral lists this ribosomal RNA (516 nucleotides) under uncultured bacterium. Its description in RNAcentral is "partial 16S ribosomal RNA". It matches the Rfam family "Bacterial small subunit ribosomal RNA", at positions 28 to 523 of the family's 1533-position model. The record is from RNAcentral.
GAUGAACGGUGGCGGCGUGCCUAAUACAUGCAAGUCGAACGCAUUGAGAGAAGUGCUUGCACUUUUCAAUUUGAGUGGCGAACGGGUGAGUAACACGUGGGCAACCUACCUGAUAGCGGGGGAUAACGAGUGGAAACAUUCGCUAAUACCGCAUAACAAUAGAGAAGGCAUCUUCUUUAUUUAAAAGGCGCUUUCAAGCGUCACUAUCAGAUGGGCCCGAGGUGCAUUAGUUAGUUGGUGGGGUGAAGGCCUACCAAGACGAUGAUGCAUAGCCGAGUUGAGAGACUGAUCGGCCACAUUGGGACUGAGACACGGCCCAAACUCCUACGGGAGGCUGCAGUAGGGAAUCUUCCACAAUGGACGAAAGUCUGAUGGAGCAACGCCGCGUGUGUGAUGAAGGCUCUCGGGUCGUAAAGCACUGUUGUAUGGGAAGAAAUGCUAGGCUAGGAAAUGAGCUUAGUUUGACGGUACCAUACCAGAAAGGGACGGCUAAAUACGUGCCAGCAGCCGCGGUAA